AAUAAAACAAGAUUAAAAAAAAUUAAAAAAAAAAAAAGAGAGAAAAGAAGGAAAUGACAGGGCAGUCGGCAGACACUCCAACAUCCCACCCCUCAUCUCCCCUCCCUCAUCUGAGACCUGCGAGAAUGGAAGGGGUGAGAGGGGGCUGAAGGUGUGGCUGGCCGUUUGUCGAAAGGAGAAGGCACCGCCGGAGGUAGGGGACUGAAACCCAACCCAUGCUCGCCGGAGACACUUGAGCUUUAGAUCCACGGGUGUUUGGCGGUCGACUUUGGAUGGAUACACACCGAGGAGGGAAGUUGAACGAAGGAAGAACGCAAAGUUGUUAUGUGUUUUCUGAGGACGAUCUACGAGAUUUGAGGAGGAUCGUGGGCGUCGGAAGCGAACCAGAGGAUGAGGCGACGACGAGGAUGCAGAGGUGGAAAUCGAUGUAGCGGUCGAGGCGAAGGCACACGGGGCCGUUGGCUAUAGCGAGUUCCAACACAUUUGAGUCGAGUUUCUUUGUACCUACCUUUAAAUCCGGCCUUUCACGUAUUUCAAAUAGUUGUCCGAGUCCGAAAGAUGUUGUAUCUUAGUGGUCUUUUCUCUUUUCGUUAUAAAAACAAAAUUUUCAUUACUACUUUAAUUAAAUUUCAAUUUACAUGCAAGUGUUUAAAUGUUUUAAAUUUUA
Long non-coding RNA from Cucurbita moschata (crookneck pumpkin), 667 nucleotides. RefSeq lists it as uncharacterized. NCBI's taxonomy places the organism in Eukaryota, Viridiplantae, Streptophyta, Magnoliopsida, Cucurbitales, Cucurbitaceae. The transcript has 3 exons. The record is from RefSeq and is a predicted model, not a curated record.